AAACCAACAGGGAUUGCCCUAGUAACGGCGAGUGAAGCGGCAACAGCUCAAAUUUGAAAUCUGGCCCUAGCGGUCCGAGUUGUAAUUUGCAGAGGAUGCUUUUGGCGCGGUGCCUUCUGAGUUCCCUGGAACGGGACGCCAGAGAGGGUGAGAGCCCCGUACGGUUGGACACCUAGCCUAUAUAUAGCUCCUUCGACGAGUCGAGUAGUUUGGGAAUGCUGCUCUAAGCGGGAGGUAAAUUUCUUCUAAAGCUAAAUACCGGCCAGAGACCGAUAGCGCACAAGUAGAGUGAUCGAAAGAUGAAAAGCACUUUGAAAAGAGGGUUAAAUAGCACGUGAAAUUGUUGAAAGGGAAGCGUUUGCGACCAGACCUUUUCUAGGGGGAUCAUCUGGUGUUUUCACCGGUGCACUCCCCGUAGUUUAGGCCAGCAUCGGUUUUCUUAGGGGGAUAAAGGCCUGGGGAACGUAGCUCUUUAGGGAGUGUUAUAGCCCCUGGCAUAAUACCCCUCGGGGGACCGAGGACCGCGCUUCGGCAAGGAUGCUGGCGUAAUGGUCGUCAACGAC
RNAcentral lists this ribosomal RNA (563 nucleotides) under Xylariaceae sp. BCC 20844. Its description in RNAcentral is "eukaryotic LSU rRNA". It matches the Rfam family "Eukaryotic large subunit ribosomal RNA", at positions 62 to 648 of the family's 3401-position model. RNAcentral also lists the same sequence under 1 other name. The record is from RNAcentral. Lineage: Eukaryota; Fungi; Ascomycota; Sordariomycetes; Xylariales; Xylariaceae.